UAAUGGUUAUGUAAAUGAUGGUGUUAAUUAUGGUGUUGAUGAGUGAGUGGAUGAUGUAAAAUGAUGGUGUAAAUGAUGGUGUUAAUAAAUAAAUAAUGGUGUAGAUGAUAAUGAUGGUGGUAAUGAUGGUGUAAAUGAGUAAAUGAUGGUGUGAGGUGAUGGUGUUAAUGAUGGUGUUAUUGAUGGUGGUAAUGAGUGAGUGAUGGUGGUAAUGAUGGUGGUAGUGAUGGUGUGGGUGAUGGGGGUUAAUGAUGGUGGUAGUGAUGGUGUUAAUGAGGUGAGUGAUGGUGUAAAUGGUGGUAGUGAUGGUGUUAAUGAUGGGUGUGGGGAUGGUGGUAGUGAUGUGGUAAUGAUGGUGGUAGUGAUGGUGUUAAUGAGUGAGUGAUGGUGUAAAUGAUGGUGGUAAUGAUGGUGGUAGUGAUGGUGGUAAUGAUGGUGUGAGUGAUGGUGUAAAUGAUGGUGGUAAUGAUGGUGGUAGUGAUGGUGGUAAUGAUGGGGUAGUGAUGGUGUAAAUGAUGGUGGUAGUGAUGGUGUUAAUGAUGGUGGUAGUGAUGGUUGUAAUGUUGGUGUGAUGGUGUUAAUGAUGGUGGUAGUGAUGGUGGUAAUGAUGGUGGUAGUGAUGGUGUUAAUGAUGGUGGUAUGGAUGGUGUUAAUGAGUGAGUGAUGGUGUGGGUGAUGGUGUUAAUGAUGUGGUAGUGAUGGUGUUAAUGAGUGAGUGAUGGUGUAAAUGAUGGUGGUAAUGAUGGUGGUAGUGAUGGUGGUAAUGAUGGUGGUAGUGAUGGUGGUAGUGAUGGUGUAAAUGAUGGUGGUAAUGAUGGUGUGGGUGAUGGUGGUUAAUGAUGGUGGUAGUGAUGGUGGUAGUGAUGGUGGUAAUGAUGGUGGUAGUGAUGGUGGUAGUGAUGGUGUAAAUGAUGGUGGUAAUGAUGGUGGUAGUGAUGGUGGUAAUGAUGGUGGUAGUGAUGGUGUUAAUGAUGGUGUGGGUGAUGGUGGUAAUGAUGGUGGUAGUGAUGGUGGUAAUGAUGGUGGUAGUGAUGGUGUUAAUGAUGGUGUGGGUGAUGGUGGUAGUGAUGGUGGUAGUGAUGGUGGUAGUGAUGGUGGUAGUGAUGGUGGUAAUGAUGGUGGUAGUGAUGGUGUUAAUGAUGGUGUGGGUGAUGGUGGUAGUGAUGGUGGUAAUGAUGGUGGUAGUGAUGGUGGUAAUGAUGGUGGUAGUGAUGGUGGUAAUGAGUGAAUGAUGAUGACGUUGGAUUCGAUCGUAUCGUUACAGUUCUAUAUUUGAACCCAUGUGUUAAAUGAUGUAGUGGCAGAAAUGAGCCCGGGUUAUUCCACGAUACCGAGCGUCUGAACGCAGCCUCGCUCACAGUCAAC
Ictalurus punctatus (channel catfish) is the source of this 1365-nucleotide long non-coding RNA. The record is from Ensembl. Lineage: Eukaryota; Metazoa; Chordata; Actinopteri; Siluriformes; Ictaluridae.